Molecule: unclassified non-coding RNA, 328 nt
Filed under: soil metagenome
Description: partial contains 5.8S ribosomal RNA, internal transcribed spacer 2, and large subunit ribosomal RNA
Rfam family: 5.8S ribosomal RNA (bases 1-120)
Source: RNAcentral
GAUGAAGAACGCAGCGAAAUGUGAUAAGUAAUGUGAAUUGCAGAAUUCAGUGAAUCAUCGAAUCUUUGAACGCACAUUGCGCCCCUUGGUAUUCCGAGGGGCAUGCCUGUUCGAGCGUCAUUAUAACCCCUCAAGCUCAGCUUGGUGUUGGGGCCUGCUGCACUGGCAGCCCUUAAAAUCAGUGGCGGCGCCAUCUGGCUCUAAGCGUAGUAAUUCUUCUCGCUAUGGAGUCCUGGUGGAUGCUUGCCAUCAACCCCCAAUUUUUCUAUGGUUGACCUCGGAUCAGGUAGGGAUACCCGCUGAACUUAAGCAUAUCAAUAAGCGAGGA